Molecule: long non-coding RNA, 249 nt
Filed under: Gossypium raimondii (Peruvian cotton)
Lineage: Eukaryota; Viridiplantae; Streptophyta; Magnoliopsida; Malvales; Malvaceae
Description: long non-coding RNA (GRAI_LNC000143)
Source: RNAcentral
AAAUUAAAGAAAACAAAAGAAAAGAGAAUAAAAGACAGCGGUGAAUAGUUCUCUAACGUGAAAAUGCAAAAUGGAAGAGUGGAGAGUGAGAGAUGGUUGGUUGAUGGAGAAAAAUUAGGAAAAUCCCUCAUCAUUUUUUUUAAAUACCCCACUAACUCUUAUUAACUAUCCACAUCAGAUUUUUCCCAGAGUUUAAAAUGAAAAAUAAUAAUUUUCACUUUACAUAUGCAGGGAUUCGAACACAAGACU